RNAcentral lists this long non-coding RNA (233 nucleotides) under Homo sapiens (human). Its description in RNAcentral is "HSALNT0198751". The record is from RNAcentral. Lineage: Eukaryota; Metazoa; Chordata; Mammalia; Primates; Hominidae.
AUCAGGAAUAUCAGGGAAAAUGCUUUUGAUGUUGUUGGCAAAGUCAAUUCCUAUCAUUUGUACUUGACACCAGCUACCUAGCAGGCUCAUUGUGAACUUCAGGUUUCGCCCACGUUAUUUAUAUAAAGUAUCUCAGUGUAAUAUAGGGAGUUGCUGGUUAUUUGAAAAUAGUAACAAAGAUAACCCAAACGAGAAACUCCAUUUCCAUAAUUAGUUUUCCUGAAAGUCAGGCA